RNAcentral lists this ribosomal RNA (506 nucleotides) under uncultured bacterium. RNAcentral's name for it is "partial 16S ribosomal RNA". It matches the Rfam family "Bacterial small subunit ribosomal RNA", at positions 28 to 523 of the family's 1533-position model. The record is from RNAcentral.
GAUGAACGCUAGCUACAGGCUUAACACAUGCAAGUCGAGGGGUAACGAGAGGCAAGCUUGCUUUCCUUGUCGACGACCGGCGCACGGGUGAGUAACGCGUAUCCAACCUGCCCCCAACUAGGGAAUAACCUUGCGAAAGUAAGACUAAUACCCUAUAAUUUCCUCAGAUGUCAUCUGACGAGGAAUAAAGAUUUAUCGGUUGUGGAUGGGGAUGCGUCUGAUUAGCUUGUUGGCGGGGUAACGGCCCACCAAGGCAACGAUCAGUAGGGGUUCUGAGAGUAAGGUCCCCCACAUUGGAACAGAGUCACGGUCCAGACUCCUACGGGAGGCAGCAGUGAGGAAUAUUGGUCAAUGGGCGGAAGCCUGAACCAGCCAAGUAGCGUGCAGGAUGACGGCCCUAUGGGUUGUAAACUGCUUUUAUACAGGAAUAAAGUUAGCCACGUGUGGCUAUUUGUAGGUACUGUAUGAAUAAGGACCGGCUAAUUCCGUGCCAGCAGCCGCAGUAA